This 860-nucleotide long non-coding RNA is filed under the name Salmo salar (Atlantic salmon). RNAcentral's name for it is "lncRNA (ENSSSAG00000082368.1, ENSSSAG00000084662.1)". Lineage: Eukaryota; Metazoa; Chordata; Actinopteri; Salmoniformes; Salmonidae. The record is from RNAcentral.
CUUGUUUAGCCGCUGACAGACAUACAAGUAACACUGCAAACGAGGUCCUUGGUUAAUUACGAACCGCCAGCUAGUCUGAUAAUUGUGUUUUUGCCAGAGGACUCAAACGUUGCCUAACUCUCUGGCUUGCAAACGUCAUUUCAAGACUGAUAUAGCUAGUCUUGCAACAAGCAAGCAGCAAUAUAAAAGUAGCAUAACUAGCUAGGUCAACAGACCACGGCAUUAUUAAAGAUGAAUGGCAUAUGUAUGAAGAUAGAGGUUCGCUAGCCCGGGGUAGGGCAGGGGACUGGGGGCUGUGGGAGACCUAGUAUUUGUCUGUCCUGCCUAUUCCUUCGUGCUGCUGACAGUAAACGAGAGAGGUGCCCACUGAAUACUUGCUUCACCAGGGGGAUUGGCCUAUGCACAAGUUGGAGUGUACAGCCAUGUGUUCCUAUGGGGAGAACUGAUGUCCCUCAGAGACCGUCAGACUGGUGGCCAGGAUCAUCAUGAAACAGGUCAGUCGUUGUGUGUGUGUGUGUGUGUGUGUGUGUGUGUGUGUGUGUGUGUGUGUGUGUGUGUGUGUGUGUGUGUGUGUGUGUGUACAGUGCAUUUGGAAAGUAUUCAGACCCCUUGACUUUUUCCACAUUUUGUUACAAUGGAGUCCACUUGUGGUAAAUUCAAUUGAUUGGACAUGAUUUGGAAAGGCACACACCUGUCUAUAUAAGGUCCCACAGUUGACAGUGCAUGUCAGUGCAAAAACCAAGCCAUGAGGUCGAAGGAAUUGUCCUUAGAGCUCCGAGACAGGAUUGUGUCGAGGAACAGAUCUGGGGAAGGGUACCAAUAAAUUUCUGCAGCAUUGAAGGUCCCCAAGAACACAGUAG